RNAcentral lists this long non-coding RNA (1030 nucleotides) under Anas platyrhynchos platyrhynchos (common mallard). Its description in RNAcentral is "lncRNA (ENSAPLG00000026392.1)". Lineage: Eukaryota; Metazoa; Chordata; Aves; Anseriformes; Anatidae. The record is from RNAcentral.
UUGGCCUCAGGAAUCUGAUACAUUAAAUUUUAUUUUAUUUUUUUUCUGAGCAGUGUGACCAGUGCAAUAUUUGCACUGAUUCUAAGGGACAGUCCUACAGCACUUUCAGCCUCAUAUUAUACCUUGAGAAACAAACAAACAAAAAAAAAAAACUUCAAAAAUUAUUUUUAAGAAAUGAAGUUAAAGUGCUGAAGCAGUCUGUCCUUAACAUUAAAAGGGCAGAAUUUGUGGGAACCUUGAAGAUGUUUAUGAGAUGGUUCCAGUAGAAAUGAAUUAAAAAGAAUUAGGAACUAAUGGAAUGAGGACAUUCUCAUAAGGACAGGUUGUUCAAGAGUCUCUGUACCUCUAGAUGGACCAGUUCCAGUAAAAGUCUAACUAAAGAAAAAAAAAUAAAUGGGGGGUGGUGAAGAGAUUCUUUGUGGAAAAGGAAAGGAAAAGAAAAAAAAAGGUUGUAAUUGCAACACAGUGCUAAAUGAGAUGUUUCUGUGCCAAGGUACCAAUGACAUGACACUGUUCCCAGGAAGAUCUUCAGAGUCCAAAAUACAUCACAUCACAAGAUGUGCUCAGAGGGUGAAAUGCACAAUUGCUUGCACAGUAUGAAAUACGAGAACGAAGUGCUCACUGAUGGACCAAUGAAGGCAGUUCAUCCAACUUGGAAACAGAAAGAAGGCAUCUGAUUCUGACUCCGCAAGAGGAGUGAAGGUGGAAUGAGGUUAGAAGGAAGUGUGUGAGAAGGAGAAGAAGCUGGGCUGAGGAGUCUAGGCUCUGUAAUGAUAUUAAUUGAAUAUAAGAGCUGAAAUUAAGUAGAGUUGAAGUUUUAUUCAUUUGUAAAAGCUUCUGUCUCUGUAGUUAGUUUGCAUGAACUGUCAGACUCUUCACUAGCAUAAAAAACUGCAGUAGGCUGAUAAUGAGGUUUUAUUACAGAUCUUUAUUUGGUUAAAAAAAAAAAAAAAAAAAAAAAAAAAGUUCUCUAGAACUGCCUAGAAUUGUGCCUAGUGUCAGCCAGAGAACUUUUUUCAAUGGUUUUCAC